UGGGCAAGCCCAUUGUCAUGGUGACAGGAGAUGAGCUGGAUAUCACUGAGAUGGCUGCAAGAAGUGGCAUGACGACAUGAAUUCAUGGGACCGGCAGCCAUGUUUGCGGAGUUGGAAAGUACGCAGUCAAUUGUCACCGGUGGCGACUCGGCUAAUCAAACUCAUGAGACUGACUGCAACAGCGAGCCGGAGGGAGGACAUCAUCGCGAAAAAAAGGCUCCUGGAAAGAACAAUUAUCCUGACGCGCUACAUUAGCGGCGCUCGCGCGUCAACACCGAAAUGAACCCCGGCUUAACCCGUCGUCGUUGUCCUCGUUCCUCCUCUCUUCCUCGCCGUAAUCACAAACCCGAGAGGACACGCUGCCCUGUCAUCCCGAGCGGAGGGGGGGGGAAGUGAGCUUUUGUACAAAAUGCACGGAAGGUGAGCUGCUUGUCCGUCAUCAUCACAUACGCAUCCAGCAACAUGCAUAAAACCGACGUGGACCGUACGUCAGCU
Molecule: long non-coding RNA, 495 nt
Organism: Hippocampus comes (tiger tail seahorse)
Lineage: Eukaryota; Metazoa; Chordata; Actinopteri; Syngnathiformes; Syngnathidae
Exons: 4
Source: RefSeq, a predicted model, not a curated record